AGUGCGGGGGCCAGCGGAGCGUGCGCAGACGGGAGACUGCGGGCCCGAGCGCCUUGUUUGGUGAUGGCCGGGACGUCUUCGUCUGCGGAGACCUGGGAAGUAACUGCGGUCGGCGCCAUGUUAAGUCGGGGCAAAAGGGACGGCGUCACUUGGGGGUUGGGCGCCCGAAGCAAAUUCUCGAAGCCGCGUGGGACGCGCGGGCGGCGUUUAAGUGCUCGCAGCGACACUCCGCCUGGCUGAGGGGAGAUGAGUGACGAGAUAAAUGGGAACUUUCGGAUGCCGGUUUCCGCCCGUUGGGGAGCGAAGAGCGGGAAGUUGGGCAGUGCGCCGGGAGAGCGCGGCCGAGUGACAGCGCCUCCGUGGUUGGGCGGCCGGGGUGCGAGGGGCGGUGCCACCUUCCCGGAGGUGGCGGCGGGCGGCAUUCCCGGGCCCCCGAGGUCGGCUCCCGCCUCGGGAAGAGAACACACGUCAGUCCUACCGUCAACAGAAAUCCGAAAGGCCGGGCGACGGCGGCGGGCGCCCCGGGAAGGGAGCCUAACACGUUGCGAGUUAUUUAUUAAUUCCUUCAAAUGAUUUAAUGUUAUCCUGCACAAAACAGAUUGAGGCCAACCAAUAGCGAUUACUCACUUGUUUCUGUUUUGAGGAUGUAACCCAGGGAAAUGAAGGCUGUUUUUCAUCUUAAAUGGACGUACUUCACCAGAGAACAUCUUAUGGACUUAUUUAACAUAUGUGCUACGUUGAGUAUAUACAAGUAUGUAUUAAAAAAAAAAAGGAUUCAGAGUUCAAAAAUAAAAAUUCUAGUGAUAUCAAAACGUAUGCACCAGCAGGUGUGCCCUUUCCUAACUGGAGGGGACGGUGAGCAGCGACACAAAAGCAGGAACAACAGCAGAUACGUCAGCUGUCAUCUUCGGUAGACGGCAAAAUGCUCUAAAACGCCACCCAUCCCCGGAAGCCUAAUAUCACCCAGGCAGGAGCUUAUCUAAACGCCACGUAAAGUACAAGUUUCUGGUCACCUACAACAUGUUUCACCUUUCAACUGCUAUAAUGUUGAGGACGACCUGAAAAACUUGUCGUAACAGUGGAAUAUAACUGCAAUAUGGAAGCACUGUUUUUGUUUUUUUUUUAAUGUUCAUAUUUGGGGGAGAGAGAGAGAGACAGAGCGCAAGGAGGUGGAGACAGAGAAUCUGAAGCAGGCUCCAGGCUCUGAGCUGUCAGCACAGAGCCCGAGGCGGGGCUCGAACUCACAGACCACAAGAUCAUGACCUGAGCUGAAGUCGGUCACUUAACCGACUGAGCCACCCAGGUGCCCCUGGAAACACCUCUUUUAACGUUACAGGAAAAUGCAUCCAGAAAGGUCCAACCUGGAAAAUCGUGGAUAUUCCUCAAAUCUGGCAGACUUGGUCCUGAAUGACAGCACACUUCCUCUACCCCAUGGCUUCCAACCCAAAAAGCAGGCAGGGGCAACUGGGGUGGAGUGAUGGGCCGGAGAAUGAAAGUAAGCACAGUUUCCAAAAGCAAAGUGCUACAGCUGGAAAGCAUGCCUGGAAGAUAAAGCCACAGAACCCAUGAAAAUCUGAGCCAGGGCACCUCAUAUGGAUAAGAAUUUUCCUGCAGCAAUCUUACCCCUAAUGUCAAGGACACUUGAGACAGUCCAAUUCUUUGCUUUGUUCCCCUUAACAUUAAAUCAUGAGCCUUUUCCAUGUUUUGAAAUGUCCACGAAACAUACAUUUUAAGAGCUGCCUAAUAUUCCACUGGAAGGGUGUACAAUAAUUUAACAGUUUCCUUACUGUGUGGCAUUUAGGAUGUUGCCAAAUUGUCAGUGUAAUAAACCCUAUUCCAUCAAAGUUCUCAUACAAGGUCUUUGAGUGUAUGCUGGGUUAAAUCUUUAGGACAGAUUACUAGAAAUGGAAUUACACUUCAUAAAAAACUGGAUAUUUUCAAGGCUGUGAAUACACAUUAUGAAACUGCUUUUCAGGAUGGUUGUGAGAAUUCGCAAUUUCACUAACAGUGUAGAAAAGCACCCACCAAGUAUUUAAUAUUUGGCUUUUGUUAGAAAAAAAAAAUUUUAAGUUUAUUUUUGAGAGAGAAAGAGCACAAGGAGGGACGGGCAGAGAGAGAGAGAAUCCCAAGCAGGCUCUGUGCUGUCAGCGCAGAGCCUGACAUGAGGCUCAAUCUCAUGAACUGCAAGGUCAUGACCUGAACCAAAAUCAAGAGUCAGACGCGUAAGUGACUGAGCCACCCAGACACCCCAGAAAAUAUUUUUAAAUUAAUGUUUCACAUUAAGAUUAUAUGGUCAUUUCAUACAGAGUUCUUUGCCUAAAAAGAUGAAACUAGAUUAUUUUACAUGGUUGGUUUCAGUUUCAAACAUUAAUUUGUAUUCAUGUUAGUAAUCUAGCAGGAAACAUGACUUUAAAAAUUUAUAGGGGCACCUGGGUGGUUUAGUCGGUUAAACAUCUGACUCUUGCAUUUGGCUCAGGUCAUAAUCUCAUGGUUGUAAGAUCAAGCCCUGUGUCAGGCUCUGUGCUGAGUGUGGAGCCUGCUUGGGAUUCUCUCUCUGCCCCUCCCCCUUCCUCUCUCUCAAAAUAAAUAAACAUUAAAAAAGACUGUAGGGGCGCCUGGGUGGCUCAGUCGGUUAAGGGACCGACUUCGGCUCAGGUCAUGAUCUCGCGGUCCGUGAGUUUGAGCCCCGCGUCGGGCUCUGUGCUGACCGCUCAGAGCCUGGAGCCUGUUUCAGAUUCUGUGUCUCCCUCUCUCUGACCCUCCCCCGUUCAUGCUCUGUCUCUCUC
Panthera uncia (snow leopard) is the source of this 2786-nucleotide long non-coding RNA. RefSeq lists it as uncharacterized. The record is from RefSeq and is a predicted model, not a curated record. Lineage: Eukaryota; Metazoa; Chordata; Mammalia; Carnivora; Felidae. The transcript has 2 exons.